AACAGUUACCCAAGAAGCGUAAGUAAGAAAAUCUUGGUAAGAUAAGCGUUAUGUUUAAAUGUCACAGAUAUCUGGGUAAGGAUAGCAUGUACUUUCUUAGUGCUGUAGCCACAGAUAUCUGGGCCAAACAUGAUGAUGCAGGUACAAAGAGAAGAUAAGCGUUAUGUUUAAAUGUCUGAUCUCAUGUUGAUGGUGAAAAAAAUUGUACCUGUAAGGAGUGUCUCCUCCAAAUUUCUUCUCGUCAACAUCAUCACUGAGAAGCUUCAUGUAUCCACCACCGCAGUCAAG
This 288-nucleotide long non-coding RNA is filed under the name Brassica napus (rape). Its description in RNAcentral is "long non-coding RNA (BNAP_LNC008883)". Lineage: Eukaryota; Viridiplantae; Streptophyta; Magnoliopsida; Brassicales; Brassicaceae. The record is from RNAcentral.